UGCAAUAACCCGACCUACUAGUUACAAUAUCUCGUUGGGUCCAAAUCACCGACCCAAAAUGCUUAAGUCCAGUUAUUAUUAUUUGGGUCCUAGUCUCUUUAUAUCCAAUCACAACACAUUCCGAUCCGAUGUGGGACUAUUGGGAUGUCAUAAACUUUCUCUUUAUAAAUCCAAUCACAACACAUUUCGAUCUGAUGCGGGACUAUUGGAGUGUCAUAGACUCUCUCAUUUAUCGUUUAGACACAUACAGCCCAAGAUCACCAGGUGAUAUAAGACUUAUCUCGCUAGCUUUAUUAUUCUGACCCUGGCUUGGUCUGUUACCUUGUCAUUUCGACUAUGGCUUAACCUAUCAUUCCAAUCCUGGCUCAGCCAGAUUCAUUUCAUACUUUCGGCUGGUGAUUGGGUCUGAUAUCAAAUAUGAUGACUCGAUCCACUAGCGAUAAUAACUCGUUGGGUCCAAACUAUACUGACCCAACUUAAGCCCAGUUAUUAUUAUUAAGGUCCGUAGUCUCUUUAUAAACCCAAUCACAAUCCGUUCCUAUCCGAUGUAGGAC
RNAcentral lists this long non-coding RNA (554 nucleotides) under Ananas comosus (pineapple). Its description in RNAcentral is "long non-coding RNA (ACOM_LNC002967)". Lineage: Eukaryota; Viridiplantae; Streptophyta; Magnoliopsida; Poales; Bromeliaceae. The record is from RNAcentral.